This 601-nucleotide long non-coding RNA is filed under the name Gallus gallus (chicken). RNAcentral's name for it is "lncRNA (ENSGALG00010004621.1)". The record is from RNAcentral. Lineage: Eukaryota; Metazoa; Chordata; Aves; Galliformes; Phasianidae.
GCUGAACUUUCCAACUUGAUAUGAAAACUCAUGCAACAUGGUGCGUCCACUUUGCUGUCCCUGGCAUGUGUUACACAGAGUCACAGAAUCAUAGAAUGCUGUUGUUUGUUAUCUUUGUUAUCCCCAGCGCAGUUUUGGCUCAUCUUCUGCGGCUGUAAUCUGUAAUUUUGACUAAUGACUGACCACUAGUAAGUAGCACGGUUCAGUUUAUAACCUUUGGGUCUUGGUUAGCAAUCUAUGAUCGUACAUAGAGGGCUCCCGCUAUUAUCCCACAUCUGUAUUCACCUACAUUGUGCUUUAUGCUGCAGUCAAAUGUAGUUCAUUCUGCGCAUGAUGAAUAGUUGCAAUCACUUGUCAUGUCCUACAAAACUUGUGUAUAAAAGGAGAUGUUACAGCAUAUACUGGUACUAAGCUAAAGACAAGCUAAAACAAAUUUGGCAGUAAUCACUAGUGCGUUGGCUGCUGUUACAAGCUAAAUCAGUUUCAGACUGUUGAAGACAAGCCUAGACAACAUCUGAUACAUCCUGAGGCCCACAGAGCUCAAUAACGGGCUGGUACCAGGUAUAAGCAGUGUUUAUUGGAAUACAGGGUUGCAAACCCC